GAUGAACGCUGGCGGCGUGCCUAACACAUGCAAGUCGAGCGAUUUACUUCGGUAAAGAGCGGCGGACGGGUGAGUAACGCGUGGGUAACCUGCCCUGUACACACGGAUAACAUACCGAAAGGUAUGUUAAUACGAGAUAACAUACUUUUAUCGCAUGGUAGAAGUAUCAAAGCUCUGGCGGUACAGGAUGGACCCGCGUCUGAUUAGCUAGUUGGUAAGGUAACGGCUUACCAAGGCGACGAUCAGUAGCCGACCUGAGAGGGUGAUCGGCCACAUGGGAACUGAGACACGGUCCAAACUCCUACGGGAGGCAGCAGUGGGGAAUAUUGCACAAUGGGCGAAAGCCUGAUGCAGCAGCGCCGCGUGAGCGAUGAAGGCCUUCGGGUCGUAAAGCUCUGUCCUCAAGGAAGAUAAUGACGGUACUUGAGGAGGAAGCCCCGGCUAACUACGUGCCAGCCGCCGCCGUAA
RNAcentral lists this ribosomal RNA (468 nucleotides) under uncultured bacterium. RNAcentral describes it as "partial 16S ribosomal RNA". It matches the Rfam family "Bacterial small subunit ribosomal RNA", at positions 28 to 523 of the family's 1533-position model. The record is from RNAcentral.